GCUCUAGUAGAUUAAUCAUAAAGCACCGGUCUUGUAAUCCGGAGAUUGAGGACUAAAUCCCCUCCUAGUGCC
Molecule: transfer RNA, 72 nt
Filed under: Ameiurus brunneus (snail bullhead)
Lineage: Eukaryota; Metazoa; Chordata; Actinopteri; Siluriformes; Ictaluridae
Description: tRNA-Thr
Rfam family: tRNA
About the family: Transfer RNA (tRNA) molecules are approximately 80 nucleotides in length.
Source: RNAcentral